AGGCGCGUAGCUCAGUGGUAGAGCACUACCUUGACAUGGUAGGGGUCAGCAGUUCGAUACUGCUCGUGCCUA
RNAcentral lists this transfer RNA (72 nucleotides) under Halodesulfovibrio spirochaetisodalis. It matches the Rfam family "tRNA". Rfam says of the family: Transfer RNA (tRNA) molecules are approximately 80 nucleotides in length. Their secondary structure includes four short double-helical elements and three loops (D, anti-codon, and T loops). Lineage: Bacteria; Pseudomonadati; Thermodesulfobacteriota; Desulfovibrionia; Desulfovibrionales; Desulfovibrionaceae. The record is from Rfam by way of RNAcentral.